Molecule: ribosomal RNA, 549 nt
Filed under: uncultured Bifidobacterium sp.
Lineage: Bacteria; Bacillati; Actinomycetota; Actinomycetes; Bifidobacteriales; Bifidobacteriaceae
Description: bacterial SSU rRNA
Rfam family: Bacterial small subunit ribosomal RNA
Source: RNAcentral
CCUCCUGGAAACGGGUGGUAAUGCCGGAUGUUCCAGUUGAUCGCAUGGUCUUCUGGGAAAGCUUUCGCGGUAUGGGAUGGGGUCGCGUCCUAUCAGCUUGACGGCGGGGUAACGGCCCACCGUGGCUUCGACGGGUAGCCGGCCUGAGAGGGCGACCGGCCACAUUGGGACUGAGAUACGGCCCAGACUCCUACGGGGGGCAGCAGUGGGGAAUAUUGCACAAUGGGCGCAAGCCUGAUGCAGCGACGCCGCGUGAGGGAUGGAGGCCUUCGGGUUGUAAACCUCUUUUAUCGGGGAGCAAGCGUAAGUGAGUUUACCCGUUGAAUAAGCACCGGCUAACUACGUGCCAGCAGCCGCGGUAAUACGUAGGGUGCAAGCGUUAUCCGGAAUUAUUGGGCGUAAAGGGCUCGUAGGCGGUUCGUCGCGUCCGGUGUGAAAGUCCAUCGCUUAACGGUGGAUCCGCGCCGGGUACGGGCGGGCUUGAGUGCGGUAGGGGAGACUGGAAUUCCCGGUGUAACGGUGGAAUGUGUAGAUAUCGGGAAGAACACC